UGGCGGUAUGCUUACACAUGCAAGUCGAACGGUCUUUUCGGAGACAGUGGCGGACGGGUGAGUAACGCGUAAGAAUCUACCCUCAGGUCGGGGACAACCACUGGAAACGGUGGCUAAUACCGGAUGUGCCGAGAGGUGAAAGGCUUGCUGCCUGGGGAAGAGCUUGCGUCUGAUUAGCUAGUUGGUAGUGUAAGGGACUACCAAGGCGACGAUCAGUAGCUGGUCUGAGGGGAUGAUCAGCCACACUGGGACUGAGACACGGCCCAGACUCCUACGGGAGGCAGCAGUGGGGAAUUUUCCGCAAUGGGCGAAAGCCUGACGGAGCAAUACCGCGUGAGGGAGGAAGGCUCUUGGGUUGUAAACCUCUUUUCUCAGGGAAGAAAAAAAUGACGGUACCUGAGGAAUAAGCAUCGGCUAACUCCGUGCCAGCAGCCGCGGUAAUACGGAGGAUGCAAGCGUUAUCCGGAAUGAUUGGGCGUAAAGGGUCCGCAGGUGGCAUUGUAAGUCUGCUGUUAAAGAGUCUAGCUCAACUAGAUAAAAGCAGUGGAAACUACAAAGCUAGAGUUUGGUCGGGGCAGAAGGAAUUCCUGGUGUAGCGGUGAAAUGCGUAGAUAUCAGGAAGAACACCAGUGGCGAAGGCGUUCUGCUAGGCCGAGACUGACACUGAGGGGACGAAAGCUAGGGGGAGCGAAUGGGGAUUAGAUACCCCAGUAGUCCUAGCCGUAAACGAUGGAUACUAGGCGUAGCUCGUAUCGACCCGA
Molecule: ribosomal RNA, 761 nt
Filed under: uncultured cyanobacterium
Lineage: Bacteria; Bacillati; Cyanobacteriota
Description: bacterial SSU rRNA
Rfam family: Bacterial small subunit ribosomal RNA
Source: RNAcentral